This 578-nucleotide ribosomal RNA is filed under the name Listeria monocytogenes. Its description in RNAcentral is "partial 23S ribosomal RNA". It matches the Rfam family "Bacterial large subunit ribosomal RNA", at positions 1557 to 2134 of the family's 2925-position model. The record is from RNAcentral. Lineage: Bacteria; Bacillati; Bacillota; Bacilli; Caryophanales; Listeriaceae.
UGAGCUGUGAUGGGGAAGGAAAUUAAGUACGGAAGUUCCUGAUUUCACGCUGUCAAGAAAAGCCUCUAGGAAGAGUAGUACUGCCCGUACCGCAAACCGACACAGGUAGAUGAGGAGAGAAUCCUAAGGUGAGCGAGAGAACUCUCGUUAAGGAACUCGGCAAAAUGACCCCGUAACUUCGGGAGAAGGGGUGCUCUAUUAGGGUGCAAGCCCGAGAGAGCCGCAGUGAAUAGGCCCAGGCGACUGUUUAGCAAAAACACAGGUCUCUGCAAAACCGUAAGGUGACGUAUAGGGGCUGACGCCUGCCCGGUGCUGGAAGGUUAAGAGGAGUGCUUAGCUUCGGCGAAGGUACGAAUUGAAGCCCCAGUAAACGGCGGCCGUAACUAUAACGGUCCUAAGGUAGCGAAAUUCCUUGUCGGGUAAGUUCCGACCCGCACGAAAGGCGCAACGAUCUGGGCACUGUCUCAACGAGAGACUCGGUGAAAUUAUAGUACCUGUGAAGAUGCAGGUUACCCGCGACAGGACGGAAAGACCCCGUGGAGCUUUACUGCAACCUGAUAUGGAAUGUUUGUACCGCU